Molecule: ribosomal RNA, 1119 nt
Filed under: Minutisphaera sp. 39g
Lineage: Eukaryota; Fungi; Ascomycota; Dothideomycetes; Minutisphaerales; Minutisphaeraceae
Description: eukaryotic LSU rRNA
Rfam family: Eukaryotic large subunit ribosomal RNA (bases 532-1119)
Source: RNAcentral
AGUUGUUCGAGGCGGCCCCAGGCAUCGCCAGGUGGCCGCUUAGACGUCAACACCCUCUGUAUAUCUACCGCGUUGCUUUGGCGGGACGGCAGCCAGCAGCCCUGCUGGGAAGCUGUCCGCAGGGCCUCUCCAAGGCCCCGCGAGCGCCCGCCAGAGAACCGUCAAACUCGUGUUAAACCGUGGUGUCUGAGCUUUACAAAGCAAUAAGUUAAAACUUUCAACAACGGAUCUCUUGGUUCUCGCAUCGAUGAAGAACGCAGCGAAAUGCGAUAAGUAAUGUGAAUUGCAGAAUUCAGUGAAUCAUCGAAUCUUUGAACGCAUAUUGCGCCCCUUGGUAUUCCGAGGGGCAUGCCUUUUCGAGCGUCAUUACAACCGUCAAGCUCUGCUUGGUAUUGGGCCUCUGUCCCCACGCGGGCGGGCCUCAAAGUCAUCAGCGGCUGAGAGAACGGCGUUCUAGCGUAGUAGAAAUUAACUCGCCAGGGACCGGCCUCAGGCAGCUGUCAAACCCGCGCCUUUGCGCACAUCUUAGGUUGACCUCGGAUAAGGUAGGGAUACCCGCUGAACUUAAGCAUAUCAAUAAGCGGAGGAAAAGAAACCAACAGGGAUUGCCUCAGUAACGGCGAGUGAAGCGGCAACAGCUCAAAUUUGAAAUCUGGUCCUUUCAGGGCCCGAGUUGUAAUUUGGAGAGGAUGCUUCGGCUGCGGCCCUGGUCUAAGUUCCUUGGAACAGGACGUCACAGAGGGUGAGAACCCCGUACGUGGCUGGGUGCCUACGCCAUGUGAAGCUCCUUCGACGAGUCGAGUUGUUUGGGAAUGCAGCUCUAAACGGGAGGUAGAUUUCUUCUAAAGCUAAAUACCGGCGAGAGACCGAUAGCGCACAAGUAGAGUGAUCGAAAGAUGAAAAGCACUUUGGAAAGAGAGUUAAAAAGUACGUGAAAUUGUUGAAAGGGAAGCGCUUGCAACCAGACUUGGACGUAGUUGCUUAGCCGGGCUUCUGCCCGGUGCACUCUUCUGCGUCCAGGCCAGCAUCAGUUCAAGCGGCCGGAUAAAGGCCUUGGGAAUGUAGCUCCUCUCGGGGAGUGUUAAAGCCCUCGGUGCAAUGCGGCCUGCCUGGACUGAG